Molecule: long non-coding RNA, 568 nt
Filed under: Homo sapiens (human)
Lineage: Eukaryota; Metazoa; Chordata; Mammalia; Primates; Hominidae
Description: non-protein coding LINC01763:16
Source: RNAcentral
CUCCGCUCCUCAACGCCCGCCGGGUGCAAUCUGCUCUCUCCGGGAGACGAACGCGAAGCGACGUGGAAACCCUUCCACCAAAAUGAGCUGUGAUAUCCUUUUGAUGGCUAUAAUUUAUUCCAAAUCGUCCCUGGACUGAAACGAUCAAUUAGCAGCCCGAAACGCACUGUGAAGUAAAUUGUCACACUCUCUAUUACAGGAUGGUUAUCAUAUAUUUAUAAGGUGUGUUUUCUGCAAUCAGAACCAACAAGGUGUUGAGCGAUCAGUCAUAAACGCACUUCUUCAAAAAGAGAGGGAGAGAAGCUCAGCAUUGUGUGGCGGGGGAAUAAUCCUCAUGACAGUUCUCUCCCCACCCAGUGAUGUUUUGUCUUGGCACCUGGGAAGUGCAGUGAGGGCUGGAGCUCUGGACGGACUCUCUUCGCCACGCGUGCCCCUGGAAGCAGGGUCCCUGUGAACUACGGAGAGACCCCAGAGGAGAGAUUUCCUUAUUGUGUAAACACAAAUCAGUCAGUUACACCUGCCAUCUAGCAAAACAGACCUCACCCAAGGUCAAUGAUGGCUGCUAACC